UGAACGUAUAAAAAAUUCAUGGUUUAAUGAGGAAAAGAAAUCUGCUUUAGAACACGCUAACAAGGAUGCUGAAAAAUAUGCUGAUAUGGUUCACGAUAAUUUAAAUAAAGUUGCAAAAUAUUUCGAAAAAAAUAAUAAUAUAUUGAAUUACUGUUUUACUGCAGAGUCUGUGCUUUUUGAUUGUCUACCAGAACUCAGGAAAGAUGUAAAAUGCUAAAAAAUAUGCCUUAUUCUAUUGACUUUCUGUGGUUUUUCAUUUAAAGUUUUAUCGUUCAAUUAUUCGUUUAAAGUCCCAAGUUUUCAGCUUUUCCUGAAAUUAUAUUUUUUAACACAAUUCAUGAAAAAUUUAUAUUUGUAAAAUUUUAUGAUUUUGCCUUCAAAUGUUUUUUCUCUGUUGAAUACAUUCAUAUAUAUUUUUG
This is a long non-coding RNA of Centruroides sculpturatus (bark scorpion), 419 nucleotides long. RefSeq lists it as uncharacterized. The transcript has 3 exons. NCBI's taxonomy places the organism in Eukaryota, Metazoa, Arthropoda, Arachnida, Scorpiones, Buthidae. The record is from RefSeq and is a predicted model, not a curated record.